Molecule: long non-coding RNA, 387 nt
Organism: Homo sapiens (human)
Lineage: Eukaryota; Metazoa; Chordata; Mammalia; Primates; Hominidae
Exons: 2
Source: RefSeq, marked validated
AGCUUCUUUCUGCCAAGAUGAGCUGCGGUAGUCCUUUUCCUCCCUCCCCUCCUUUCUUUCUUCCCUCGUUUCUUUUCUUUUUCUUCCAUGUCAUUACGGAGAAGGGCACUGGAGGCUUACUGAAGAGCUUUGAGAAAUAGCAUAGAAGGCCCAGAGCAUUACUUGUUUCCAGAUGAUCAAGCUAAGGCUGUACCCUGGCUAUGAAUAGCCCAGCCUCCUGUGGUGUCCAAGCCUGGAGAGAUUCUGUCUCAUUCACUCCUGGUAGACUGGUUAACCCGGCCACAGGCUCCUUUUGCCUUCAGCGCUCCCCAACAGCCGAUGGCUGGCCAGCAUGUCCACCAUCUUCAUGCACAAGGUGUGCUCUACAUUAAAGAUCCUCUAACCAUA